This 457-nucleotide ribosomal RNA is filed under the name uncultured bacterium. RNAcentral's name for it is "bacterial SSU rRNA". It matches the Rfam family "Bacterial small subunit ribosomal RNA", at positions 923 to 1379 of the family's 1533-position model. The record is from RNAcentral.
GCACAAGCGGUGGAGCAUGUGGAUUAAUUCGAUGCAACGCGAAGAACCUUACCAAGGCUUGACAUGAACCGGAAUGGCGCAGAGAUGUGUCAGCCACUUGUGGCCGGUUUACAGGUGGUGCAUGGUUGUCGUCAGCUCGUGUCGUGAGAUGUUGGGUUAAGUCCCGCAACGAGCGCAACCCUCGUCCCUAGUUACCAGCGGGUUAUGCCGGGCACUCUAGGGAGACUGCCGGUGUCAAACCGGAGGAAGGUGGGGAUGACGUCAAGUCAUCAUGGCCCUUACGUCCAGGGCGACACACGUGCUACAAUGGCCGGUACAGAGCGUCGCCAACCCGCGAGGGUGAGCCAAUCGCCAAAAGCCGGUCUAAGUUCGGAUUGUAGUCUGCAACUCGACUGCAUGAAGCCGGAAUCGCUAGUAAUCGUGGAUCAGCCACGCCACGGUGAAUACGUUCCCGGGC